CAAUAUGCGAUCUAAUGAUCAAGGAGGAUUCACAGGCUUGAUCAGGUGGCUUGGAGGUUUGAUCAGGCAUGAUCAAGCAUGCAGAUGCAUGAUCUGAUGGCUAGAAAGGCAAGCAGCACUAAUUGGACAGUCCAAACGUAUGUGGAGUCUGAUCAAAAGUGUUUCUUCGAUCAAGAAUGGGUUUUGGGGCCUAUAAACAGGCCUAACGGUAGAGAAGAGAUACAAACCAAGAGAGAGCAUGGUAGAGGGUCUCAGGG
Molecule: long non-coding RNA, 257 nt
Filed under: Elaeis guineensis (African oil palm)
Lineage: Eukaryota; Viridiplantae; Streptophyta; Magnoliopsida; Arecales; Arecaceae
Description: long non-coding RNA (EGUI_LNC045254)
Source: RNAcentral